Molecule: regulatory RNA element, 36 nt
Organism: Sphingobacterium sp. ML3W
Lineage: Bacteria; Pseudomonadati; Bacteroidota; Sphingobacteriia; Sphingobacteriales; Sphingobacteriaceae
Rfam family: DUF805b RNA
About the family: Bacteroidetes, Chlorobi (1 example), Proteobacteria. Lineage (Flavobacteria)
Source: Rfam
AAGGGCGAUGCUGAAAACCCUAAAAUAGAGUAAGCU